AAGGCUGUCGCCGAUGCAGACCACCUCCCGCAAGGCCUGGCAGUGACAGCGUGAUUAGGCUGACAGAUUUGUAGCGGCAGGAAUACAUCUCAGCCACCGACAUGCCCUCCACCUCCAGGCUCCAACGUAGCCGAAUCUCUCCCUCUGCCACCACCGCUUCCUACCUCCGCCACCAAAACAACGUACGCAGCAGGAAAAAACGCGCGCGGGUGCCCAGAUUGGGGAAGAAAGGUGCACGCGAAAAUAUAAGGCAAGGGAGGAGCUCGAUGCGGGUCGCCAAUAUUUUGGGGUGAAGAAGAGGCGUCUGUUGGAUCAGAAAAAAAGGAUUUUUUCCUAAUAUCGAUUUUCAGGUUGGUUUAAGGGUUCUUCUGGAGAUGCUCUGAGCCCGUGAUCAGAUGUAACCACCACAGACGAAAUAACUGGAACUUUGCCACACGAAACGUUCUCGAUUUGCGCAGCACCAAGCCACACCAACUGAUCUCUUUCCCCGUCGACGUGCAGGCGGAGGGGGCACAUUCCACCGAGGUUGGGGCUGUCAAAAUCAGGUGCCCUUCCAGAUCCCAGAGGAGAGAGAGGCCCCGGCGAGUCCGCCGCCCGUCCAGAUCCUGCCGAUCCAGUCACGGGUUCAUCGCCUUGCCGGCUUUGUCUACUGGUAAGCACAACACAUACGACUCGCAUGCCCCAGCGCCCACCCGCCUAGCUCCCUUAUCAUCCUCCUCGCGGACACCGACGCGCGCCUGACUGUUUUGACGUUUGCUUGCUGGCAAGGAGCCGUCUUCUUCCUCGCCGGGAAAUCUCCUUCGCUGCCUCGCUUGCGUCCCUGGGCUUCUUGUUCCACACCAUCGCCUGGCUUCGUCCCCUGCAAAUUUUGAAACUGUCAGAAGCCUAGGUAAUGCAUGUGGUUUGGGGAUCUAUGAGCUGUCAGUGAGCUGGGAUUAGGGCUUGUUAAUCGGCCUUGUAAGGGAGAAUCACUCCUAUAAAUACCUGUACUUGGUGAUUGAGAAGGAAUAACAGAAAUAAUACAACCAAAUACCAAAAUCGAAGUCCACUUGCCUAACUG
This 1060-nucleotide long non-coding RNA is filed under the name Zea mays. RNAcentral's name for it is "long non-coding RNA (ZMAY_LNC005142)". The record is from RNAcentral. Lineage: Eukaryota; Viridiplantae; Streptophyta; Magnoliopsida; Poales; Poaceae.